RNAcentral lists this ribosomal RNA (362 nucleotides) under uncultured bacterium. RNAcentral's name for it is "bacterial SSU rRNA". It matches the Rfam family "Bacterial small subunit ribosomal RNA", at positions 790 to 1167 of the family's 1533-position model. The record is from RNAcentral.
GUAGUCCACGCCGUAAACUAUGGGUGCUAGCUGUGAGAAGUAUCGACCCUUCUCGUAGCGUAGCUAACGCGUUAAGCACCCCGCCUGUGGAGUACGGUCGCAAGACUAAAACAUAAAGGAAUUGACGGGGACCCGCACAAGCGGUGGAGCGUGUUGUUUAAUUCGAUGGUAAGCGAAGAACCUUACCCAGGCUUGACAUCCUUGUAAUUUCUCCGAAAGGAGAGAGUGCCUUCGGGAUCAAGUGACAGGUGAUGCAUGGCCGUCGUCAGCUCGUGUCGUGAGAUGUUAGGUUAAGUCCUUCAACGAGCGCAACCCUUAUGAAUAGUUGUAUUUUUCUAUUCAGACUGCCCUGGUAACAGGGA